GACGAACGCUGGCGGCGUGCUUAACACAUGCAAGUCGAACGCUCGUAGCAAUACGAGAGUGGCAGACGGGUGAGUAACACGUGGGAACCCUCCCUAUGGUUCGGAAUAGCUCAGGGAAACUUGGGGUAAUACCGGAUAAGCCCUUCGGGGAAAGAUUUAUCGCCAUUGGAUGGGCCCGCGUCGGAUUAGCUAGUUGGUGAGGUAACGGCUCACCAAGGCAACGAUCCGUAGCUGGUCUGAGAGGAUGAUCAGCCACACUGGGACUGAGACACGGCCCAGACUCCUACGGGAGGCAGCAGUGGGGAAUCUUGCGCAAUGGGCGAAAGCCUGACGCAGCGACGCCGCGUGAGGGAUGACGGCC
RNAcentral lists this ribosomal RNA (361 nucleotides) under uncultured bacterium. RNAcentral's name for it is "bacterial SSU rRNA". It matches the Rfam family "Bacterial small subunit ribosomal RNA", at positions 28 to 416 of the family's 1533-position model. The record is from RNAcentral.